This 493-nucleotide ribosomal RNA is filed under the name uncultured bacterium. Its description in RNAcentral is "bacterial SSU rRNA". It matches the Rfam family "Bacterial small subunit ribosomal RNA", at positions 1016 to 1508 of the family's 1533-position model. The record is from RNAcentral.
CCCGGCGGGAAAAAGUUAAGACAGGUGGGCGCAUGGCUCUCGUCAGCUCGUGUCGUGAGAUGGUGGGAUAAGUCCCGCAACGAGCGCAACCCCUAAUGGUAGGUCGCUACGCAAGAGCAUUCUAGCAAGACUGCCGUCGACAAAAACGGAGGAAGGUGGGGGAUGACGUCAAAAUCAUCAUGCCCGUUUAGGACGUGGGCUACACACGUACUACAAUGGCGGUCAACAAAGGGGAGCGAAGGAGUGAUCCGGAGCAAAUCCCCAAAAAGCCGUCUCAGUUCAGAUUGCAGGCUGCAACUCGCCUGCAUGAAGUCGGAAUUGCUAGUAAUCGUGAAUCAGCAUGUCACGGUGAAUACGUUCCCGGGCCUUGUACACACCGCCCGUCAAGCCAUGAAAGUCGGGAAUACCCGAAGUCUGUUGUUGAACCGCAAGGAGGCGCAGCCGAAGGUAGGCUCGAUGAUGGGGUUAAGUCGUAACAAGGUAACCUAAUCUA